CACAGGAGAGCUUGCUCUCGGGUGACGAGUGGCGGACGGGUGAGUAAUGUCUGGGAAACUGCCUGAUGGAGGGGGAUAACUACUGGAAACGGUAGCUAAUACCGCAUAACGUCGCAAGACCAAAGAGGGGGACCUUCGGGCCUCUUGCCAUCAGAUGUGCCCAGAUGGGAUUAGCUAGUAGGUGGGGUAACGGCUCACCUAGGCGACGAUCCCUAGCUGGUCUGAGAGGAUGACCAGCCACACUGGAACUGAGACACGGUCCAGACUCCUACGGGAGGCAGCAGUGGGGAAUAUUGCACAAUGGGCGCAAGCCUGAUGCAGCCAUGCCGCGUGUAUGAAGAAGGCCUUCGGGUUGUAAAGUACUUUCAGCGGGGAGGAAGGUGUUGUGGUUAAUAACCGCAGCAAUUGACGUUACCCGCAGAAGAAGCACCGGCUAACUCCGUGCCAGCAGCCGCGGUAAUACGGAGGGUGCAAGCGUUAAUCGGAAUUACUGGGCGUAAAGCGCACGCAGGCGGUCUGUCAAGUCGGAUGUGAAAUCCCCGGGCUCAACCUGGGAACUGCAUUCGAAACUGGCAGGCUGGAGUCUUGUAGAGGGGGGUAGAAUUCCAGGUGUAGCGGUGAAAUGCGUAGAGAUCUGGAGGAAUACCGGUGGCGAAGGCGGCCCCCUGGACAAAGACUGACGCUCAGGUGCGAAAGCGUGGGGAGCAAACAGGAUUAGAUACCCUGGUAGUCCACGCCGUAAACGAUGUCGAUUUGGAGGUUGUGCCCUUGAGGCGUGGCUUCCGGAGCUAACGCGUUAAAUCGACCGCCUGGGGGAGUACGGCCGCAAGGUUAAAACUCAAAUGAAUUGACGGGGGCCCGCACAAGCGGUGGAGCAUGUGGUUUAAUUCGAUGCAACGCGAAGAACCUUACCUGGUCUUGACAUCCACAGAACUUUCCAGAGAUGGAUUGGUGCCUUCGGGAACUGUGAGACAGGUGCUGCAUGGCUGUCGUCAGCUCGUGUUGUGAAAUGGUUGGGUUAAGUCCCGCAACGAGCGCAACCCUUAUCCUUGUUGCCAGCGGUCCGGCCGGGAACUCAAAGGAGACUGCCAUGAUAACUGGAGAAAAAGGUGGGGAAUAACUUCAAGUCAUCAGGGCCCUUACAACCGGGCUACCCCGUGCUACAUGGGGCAAACAAGAAGAACGACCUCGCGA
RNAcentral lists this ribosomal RNA (1194 nucleotides) under Enterobacter cloacae. Its description in RNAcentral is "bacterial SSU rRNA". It matches the Rfam family "Bacterial small subunit ribosomal RNA", at positions 69 to 1260 of the family's 1533-position model. Lineage: Bacteria; Pseudomonadati; Pseudomonadota; Gammaproteobacteria; Enterobacterales; Enterobacteriaceae. The record is from RNAcentral.